Molecule: long non-coding RNA, 1431 nt
Organism: Callithrix jacchus (white-tufted-ear marmoset)
Lineage: Eukaryota; Metazoa; Chordata; Mammalia; Primates; Cebidae
Source: RefSeq, a predicted model, not a curated record
UUUACUUAUUCAUUAUUUUUGAGAUGGCGUUUUGCUCUUUUUGCCCAGGCUGGAAUGCAACGAUGCCUUCUCAGCUCACUGUAAUCUCCGCCUCCUGGGUUCAGGCAAUUCUGCCUCAGCCUCCCGAGUAGCUGGGACUAUAGGCACCCACCACCGGGCCCAGUUAAUUUUUGUAUUUUCAGUAGAGACAGGAUUUCACAAUGUUGGACAAGAUGGUCUUGAUCUCUUGACCUUGUGAUCCACCCGCCUCAGCCUCCCAAAGUGCUGGGAUUACAGGCGUGAGCCGCGCCCAGCCUAUUUUUAUUUUUUAGUAGAUAUGGGGUUUUACCACAUUGCCCAGGCUGGUCUCAAACUCCUGACCUCAAAUGAUCCACCCACCUUGGCCUCCCAAAGUGCUGAGAUUACAGAUGUGAACCACUGUGCCUGGCCAGUUUUUUGUUUUUUGUUUUUAAAUUUUAACCUAGCAUUAAAAAAAACAAGGGUGCUUCUUUUUGGACCACAUUUCAAAUUCUAGAACUUUCACUGAUCAAGUGUUGAGGCCUUAAAAUGCUUUAUAAGAAGAUGAUAGAUGUUCCAAGCAGAAAGAUACACUUGGCAGAUAGCAUGUUCCGCUCAUUGGCUCUGCACUAACAUAAUGGAAUCUUUGUUCAGAUGUUGAUGGUGCUAUUAAUACACCGUGACUCACUAAAAGCCUGGCUUCCUGGAAUGUUCUUCCCAGGGAGGUGAUGUGACGUUCCUCCUAUGGAAGAAGAAUCUGUAAUCACACUUUCAAAGGCGUGAGCAGAUCUUGAAGGCUUAGCAAAGGGAACAAAAGCUUCCUAAAUUAUACAGAAUUAUUAAACAAAUUGCCAUCCCCACAGGAAGGGGGAAAGCAUCAGUUGUACAUACCACUUCUUCACUCAGUCCGCAAAUAUGUCUCAGGUGUUUGCCACGUGCACCAAGUUAGCAGUGAACACUCACGCCUUCCCUCCUGGGCUGACAGGCAGCAGGAAGACCGACCUGAAAUGAACAAUCCUUUCAUUACAGAGAAAGGGAGAGUAUGCAAGGAGCGUGUAUGUAGGGCUUCUGUUCUAUCAGCAAGAUUUUCUGACACAUCAUAAUGGAAGGAUUAACUAGUGGAAGGAUUGAGCCUGGUGCAGGGGACAUGGAGACCAUCUUAGCCAAUUGAUGGCUUAACAGGCAGUCUCACUCUAUGGCCCAGUCUAGAAUACAGUGGCGUGAUCUCCGCUCACUGCGACCUCUGCCUUCUGGGUUCAAGCGAUUCUCUUGCCUCAGCAUCCUGAGUAGCUGAGAUUACAGGUCCAAGCAGAAGCCAGGCACAGACGAGCAAACGCCUCUGCCGGUGUUACUGAAGGGGCCGUGCAGCGCGUACUCACCACACUGGCCUUCUUCUCAGCAUUGGUCUGCCUCACCCAGCGCAGCUGCGUCAGG